Long non-coding RNA from Humulus lupulus (European hop), 280 nucleotides. RefSeq lists it as uncharacterized. The transcript is spliced from 3 exons. NCBI's taxonomy places the organism in Eukaryota, Viridiplantae, Streptophyta, Magnoliopsida, Rosales, Cannabaceae. The record is from RefSeq and is a predicted model, not a curated record.
CACCAAUUUUGUAUAAUGAGGCCUUCAAGUCAGUUGGUUUUAAUGGAGUUUAUCUGCAUUUGUUGGUAGAUGACAUUGCAAAUUUUCUCCAAACUUACUUGUCUGCAGAUUUUGCGGGAUUCAGUGUCACCAUUCCUCACAAGGAAGCUGCACUCACGUGCUGUGAUGAGGUUGAUCCAGUUGCCAAGUCAAUAGGAGCUGUUAAUUGCAUUAUAAGGAGACAAAGUGAUGGGAAGUUAUUGGGAUUCAAUCCUUCUCCUCGACCGGGCGAAAAGGGAUG